This 760-nucleotide ribosomal RNA is filed under the name Acinetobacter sp. RNAcentral describes it as "bacterial SSU rRNA". It matches the Rfam family "Bacterial small subunit ribosomal RNA", at positions 56 to 812 of the family's 1533-position model. Lineage: Bacteria; Pseudomonadati; Pseudomonadota; Gammaproteobacteria; Moraxellales; Moraxellaceae. The record is from RNAcentral.
UGCAGUCGAGCGGAGAUGAGGUGCUUGCACCUUAUCUUAGCGGCGGACGGGUGAGUAAUGCUUAGGAAUCUGCCUAUUAGUGGGGGACAACAUUCCGAAAGGAAUGCUAAUACCGCAUACGCCCUACGGGGGAAAGCAGGGGAUCUUCGGACCUUGCGCUAAUAGAUGAGCCUAAGUCGGAUUAGCUAGUUGGUGGGGUAAAGGCCUACCAAGGCGACGAUCUGUAGCGGGUCUGAGAGGAUGAUCCGCCACACUGGGACUGAGACACGGCCCAGACUCCUACGGGAGGCAGCAGUGGGGAAUAUUGGACAAUGGGCGGAAGCCUGAUCCAGCCAUGCCGCGUGUGUGAAGAAGGCCUUUUGGUUGUAAAGCACUUUAAGCGAGGAGGAGGCUACUUAGAUUAAUACUCUAGGAUAGUGGACGUUACUCGCAGAAUAAGCACCGGCUAACUCUGUGCCAGCAGCCGCGGUAAUACAGAGGGUGCGAGCGUUAAUCGGAUUUACUGGGCGUAAAGCGUGCGUAGGCGGCUGAUUAAGUCGGAUGUGAAAUCCCUGAGCUUAACUUAGGAAUUGCAUUCGAUACUGGUCAGCUAGAGUAUGGGAGAGGAUGGUAGAAUUCCAGGUGUAGCGGUGAAAUGCGUAGAGAUCUGGAGGAAUACCGAUGGCGAAAGCAGCCAUCUGGCCUAAUACUGACGCUGAGGUACGAAAGCAUGGGGAGCAAACAGGAUUAGAUACCCUGGUAGUCCAUGCCGUAACGAUGU